GUGUGCCCGGCAUGGGUGCAGUCUAUAGGGUGAGAGUCCCGAACUGUGAAGGCAGAAGUAACAGUUAGCCUAACGCAAGGGUGUCCGUGGCGACAUGGAAUCUGAAGGAAGCGGACGGCAAACCUUCGGUCUGAGGAACACGAACUUCAUAUGAGGCUAGGUAUCAAUGGAUGAGUUUGCAUAACAAAACAAAGUCCUUUCUGCCAAAGUUGGUACAGAGUAAAUGAAGCAGAUUGAUGAAGGGAAAGACUGCAUUCUUACCCGGGGAGGUCUGGAAACAGAAGUCAGCAGAAGUCAUAGUACCCUGUUCGCAGGGGAAGGACGGAACAAGUAUGGCGUUCGCGCCUAAGCUUGAACCGCCGUAUACCGAACGGUACGUACGGUGGUGUGAGAGGAGUUCGCUCUACUCUAU
RNAcentral lists this unclassified non-coding RNA (412 nucleotides) under Oceanobacillus iheyensis. Lineage: Bacteria; Bacillati; Bacillota; Bacilli; Caryophanales; Bacillaceae. The record is from RNAcentral.